AGUCGAGGGGUAUAGUUCUUCGGAAUAGAGACCGGCGCACGGGUGCGUAACGCGUAUGCAAUCUACCUUUCACAGAGGGAUAGCCCAGAGAAAUUUGGAUUAAUACCUCAUAGUAUUAUGAAGUGGCAUCACUUUAUAAUUAAAGUCACAACGGUGAAAGAUGAGCAUGCGUCCCAUUAGCUAGUUGGUAAGGUAACGGCUUACCAAGGCUACGAUGGGUAGGGGUCCUGAGAGGGAGAUCCCCCACACUGGUACUGAGACACGGACCAGACUCCUACGGGAGGCAGCAGUGAGGAAUAUUGGUCAAUGGGCGCAAGCCUGAACCAGCCAUGCCGCGUGCAGGAUGACGGUCCUAUGGAUUGUAAACUGCUUUUGUACAGGAAGAAACAGUUCUACGUGUAGAACCUUGACGGUACUGUAAGAAUAAGGAUCGGCUAACUCCGUGCCAGCAGCCGCGGUAAUACGGAGGAUCCAAGCGUUAUCCGGAAUCAUUGGGUUUAAAGGGUCCGUAGGCGGUUUAGUAAGUCAGUGGUGAAAGCCCAUCGCUCAACGGUGGAACGGCCAUUGAUACUGCUAGACUUGAAUUAUUAGGAAGUAACUAGAAUAUGUAGUGUAGCGGUGAAAUGCUUAGAGAUUACAUGGAAUACCAAUUGCGAAGGCAGGUUACUACUAAUGGAUUGACGCUGAUGGACGAAAGCGUGGGUAGCGAACAGGAUUAGAUACCCUGGUAGUCCACGCCGUAAACGAUGGAUACUAGCUGUUGGGAGCGAUCUCAGUGGCUAAGCGAAAGUGAUAAGUAUCCCACCUGGGGAGUACGUU
Molecule: ribosomal RNA, 819 nt
Filed under: uncultured Bacteroidota bacterium
Lineage: Bacteria; Pseudomonadati; Bacteroidota
Description: bacterial SSU rRNA
Rfam family: Bacterial small subunit ribosomal RNA
Source: RNAcentral